CUAAGAUGGUGGGUGGCCCGCCGUGACUGGUCUCUGAAUGUGGUUAGCACUCAAGGUCUCUGUGGCAGUUGGCCUGCUCCAGAAAGAUGGCUUCAUGGGAAAAGAGGUGCAGAAUACAAUGUCAAUUGGAAGUGAAGUCGACAGAUAAGAAAGUCAAUUUCAUUACAUCAUGUAGCGCUUGUUUGCCACAGUCACAGUCUGAACUUCAAUGUCAGAUAAUCCGAAUCCAAGUACUGACCUUGGAAAAGAGCAUUAACCUAUCUGCAUUUGCCUUAAAAAAACACCAAUGA
RNAcentral lists this long non-coding RNA (290 nucleotides) under Mus spicilegus (steppe mouse). Its description in RNAcentral is "lncRNA (ENSMSIG00000009732.1)". Lineage: Eukaryota; Metazoa; Chordata; Mammalia; Rodentia; Muridae. The record is from RNAcentral.